Molecule: non-coding RNA, 81 nt
Organism: Acanthosepion pharaonis
Lineage: Eukaryota; Metazoa; Mollusca; Cephalopoda; Sepiida; Sepiidae
Source: the annotation of a GenBank genome assembly
UUCUCGUACGAUCACUGAAGUUAAGCAACAUCGAACCUGGUCAGUACAUAGAUGGGUAACCGCCUGGGAAUACCAGGGGUU